CGGACAGAUUAUUGUAUUCGACUGUAUUCACGGCAUAAAAUAGGGGAUUACACUAUUUUUAAAAUGGAAAGUGAAUCAAUUAACAUAAUAGACUCCU
Molecule: microRNA precursor, 97 nt
Organism: Nicotiana attenuata
Lineage: Eukaryota; Viridiplantae; Streptophyta; Magnoliopsida; Solanales; Solanaceae
Rfam family: MIR6152 microRNA precursor family
Source: Rfam